Molecule: ribosomal RNA, 875 nt
Filed under: uncultured bacterium
Lineage: Bacteria
Description: bacterial SSU rRNA
Rfam family: Bacterial small subunit ribosomal RNA
Source: RNAcentral
CAUGCAAGUCGAGGGGCAGCAUGGUCUUAGCUUGCUAAGGCUGAUGGCGACCGGCGCACGGGUGAGUAACACGUAUCCAACCUGCCGUCUACUCUUGGCCAGCCUUCUGAAAGGAAGAUUAAUCCAGGAUGGGAUCAUGAGUUCACAUGUCCGCAUGAUUAAAGGUAUUUUCCGGUAGACGAUGGGGAUGCGUUCCAUUAGAUAGUAGGCGGGGUAACGGCCCACCUAGUCAACGAUGGAUAGGGGUUCUGAGAGGAAGGUCCCCCACAUUGGAACUGAGACACGGUCCAAACUCCUACGGGAGGCAGCAGUGAGGAAUAUUGGUCAAUGGGCGAUGGCCUGAACCAGCCAAGUAGCGUAAAGGAUGACCGCCCUAUGGGUUGUAAACUUCUUUUAUAAAGGAAUAAAGUCGGGUAUGCAUACCCGUUUGCAUGUACUUUAUGAAUAAGGAUCGGCUAACUCCGUGCCAGCAGCCGCGGUAAUACGGAGGAUCCGAGCGUUAUCCGGAUUUAUUGGGUUUAAAGGGAGCGUAGAUGGAUGUUUAAGUCAGUUGUGAAAGUUUGCGGCUCAACCGUAAAAUUGCAGUUGAUACUGGAUGUCUUGAGUGCAGUUGAGGCAGGCGGAAUUCGUGGUGUAGCGGUGAAAUGCUUAGAUAUCACGAAGAACUCCGAUUGCGAAGGCAGCCUGCUAAGCUGCAACUGACAUUGAGGCUCGAAAGUGUGGGUAUCAAACAGGAUUAGAUACCCUGGUAGUCCACACGGUAAACGAUGAAUACUCGCUGUUUGCGAUAUACGGCAAGCGGCCAAGCGAAAGCGUUAAGUAUUCCACCUGGGGAGUACGCCGGCAACGGUGAAACUCAAAGGAAUUGACGGGGG